CCUACGGGAGGCAGCAGUGGGGAAUUUUGCACAAUGGGGGAAACCCUGAUGCAGCGACGCCGCGUGAGUGAAGAAGUAAUUCGGUAUGUAAAGCUCUAUCAGCAGGGAAGAAAAUGACGGUACCUGAGUAAGAAGCCCCGGCUAACUACGUGCCAGCAGCUGCGGUAAUACGUAGGGGGCAAGCGUUAUCCGGAUUUACUGGGUGUAAAGGGAGCGUAGACGGCAGUGCAAGUCUGGAGUGAAAGGCGGGGGCUCAACCCCCGGACUGCUCUGGAAACUGUACGGCUGGAGUGCAGGAGAGGUAAGUGGAAUUCCGAGUGUAGCGGUGAAAUGCGUAGAUAUUAGGAGGAACACCAGUGGCGAAGGCGGCUUACUGGACUGUAACUGACGUUGAGGCUCGAAAGCGUGGGGAGCAAACAGGAUUAGAUACCCCAGUAGUC
Molecule: ribosomal RNA, 440 nt
Filed under: uncultured bacterium
Lineage: Bacteria
Description: partial 16S ribosomal RNA
Rfam family: Bacterial small subunit ribosomal RNA
Source: RNAcentral